Molecule: non-coding RNA, 1695 nt
Organism: Misgurnus anguillicaudatus (oriental weatherfish)
Lineage: Eukaryota; Metazoa; Chordata; Actinopteri; Cypriniformes; Cobitidae
Source: RefSeq, a predicted model, not a curated record
UGCCACCCUACGACCCGGAGAAAGGUUGCUUUUACCUUGAUUCACUCAGUUGACUAUUUUAUCCAAAUCUGUUUACAAAUGGUCACCGAACAUUUGCCAACAAGAAGUGUAGCACCUAAGGCGGAUGCACCUUUAAGUUAGUUUGCCAACCGCUAUAAAACUCCAACAGAAAACUAAAGAAGAAGAAACUUCUCUUCGCCCUCAAGAUUAAGAUGCAAAAAUUCAAAACCUUGCCAAGUGACACAGAGUGCAAUAAAACAAGGGCGAACAUUAAUAUCACAACAUGGAUCUUCAGCAACUAAAAGCCAAACUUCCAGUUUUCUUCUCGACAGGAGGGCAGAAUUUCCUCAGAUACUGCAUGGCUAAACUUCAACACCUGACCCUGACCCAAAUGUUGUCUGCAUGCAUACAGUUUGCAGCUUAAGUUCAGUUGGAUUUGCUGAAUUUUUCAAGCAUUGCAGAAAACAGAUCAAGACAAAACACAGGGCAAUCCAAAGUCAAACACCUGAGCCCAAGCGAGAGGCAUCUGGACAGUUAGCAGCCCUUAAACUAGCUCACCGCGUCAUUUUCUUCAUUGUCUGGGUCAAAGUGCACGGAGAGUCAGUGUAGAGACUGCGGUUACUGAGGCCCUGACAGAUCAUUGACAGCCAUUUACAAGAUUUUUUCCCACGCAAAUCCUGACUCUGAAGGCCUUCCUGGCUCCAGAGGAUAACGAUGCCCACCCGUCCAUAGCUGAUGAUGAGAGGAGGACUUAAAGAAGAGAAAAGACAGAAACUGCGCGCAGAACUCCGUCAGUAGGCGGCUGAGAAGAGGGAAAAACAUAUGCCCUUAAGUUCUGAUCUCUGCCGAAUGCUUCUGACAGCUCCGCUGAGAGUCAUUAAUCUCUUGAGGAAGCACAUCAGCGCAUAGUAGGCUACAUAUAUGAGGAUAUCUGCACAUGCACGUUGAGGGUUUGGCGGUGCGAACAGGCCGAGAGCUACAGAGAGGAGAUGGGGGCGGACUGCUGAAAAACGACGCUCAGGUUGAUGUGACAGCCUCCCAUCCAUCAUGCUGAGAGGGGCCGAUCCAUAGAACGGAGUGGGGGGUGUAUCUGAGGUAAUAUUCUCCCUCUUAAUUACUCUAGAAGGAUAAUGGCUGAGAUGACUUUGAGGAGGACAGAUGACAACAGAUGAACUGUUACUGGCUAGGAUCACUCUCAGGUACAGGUUGUCAGUAUUGGCCUUUCUGAACUCCGGGCGUAUGUUUAAUGUAUUACAUGAGGGGUGCUUAGGAUAUGGGUGGAGGUGUGUGUGUGUGUGUGUGUGUGUGUGCACUUUCGAGGAGGUCUCUUCAUUAGUGCCACUCCUCUGCACUUCCUCAGAUAAUCCUCACACCCUGCGGAGACUACAGGAGAACUGGCAGCAACACACACACAAACACUCACGAUCUGUACACACACCACUUCCAGUCUGUAUGUCACCUCUAUAGGAUGCGAAAAGCAUAUUGUUCACCUUUUAGCUCAUUUAUCUCUGUAGGCAGAAUUGUUUUUAUUUACAUCAAUUCGUACCUUUCAACAAGUCCGUCACUGAUAUGUAUUGAGAUGAGUUAUUCUAUGUUUAAAAUUUGAGUAUAUGUUCAGUGUUUUUUAAUGUGUACUUACUUAAUAACAGUAACUAUUUCAUGCAGUUAACCCUAAACAAAGCCCUAAUCCUAACC